AAAGUCAAUUCUUACUUAAUUUACACAUGCAAGUUUCCGCACCCCUGUGAGAACGCCCUUAAACCCCUCAAAGGGACAAGGAGCUGGUAUCAGGCACAAAAUUUAGCCCAAGACACCUAGCCACGCCACACCCACAAGGGAAAUCAGCAGUGAUUAACAUUGAACAUAAGCGACAGCUUGAUUCAGCUAAAGUAAAAAGAGCCGGCUAAUCUGGUGCCAGCCGCCGCGGUUACACCACGUGGCUCAAUUGACCUUUUCCGGCGUAAAGCGUGAUUUAAGAAACAAAGUUCUGGUGUUAAAAAAGCACUAAGCUGUGACACGCUUGUGCCUAAGAAAACCAAAAACGAAAGUUACACCAAUUUAGAUCAACUUGA
RNAcentral lists this ribosomal RNA (374 nucleotides) under Leptodactylus mystaceus (basin white-lipped frog). RNAcentral describes it as "partial 12S ribosomal RNA". The record is from RNAcentral. Lineage: Eukaryota; Metazoa; Chordata; Amphibia; Anura; Leptodactylidae.